This is a non-coding RNA of Gasterosteus aculeatus aculeatus (three-spined stickleback), 5126 nucleotides long. The record is from RefSeq and is a predicted model, not a curated record. Lineage: Eukaryota; Metazoa; Chordata; Actinopteri; Perciformes; Gasterosteidae.
UACGCGCUCGCAUUGCAUGUCCUAAAAAUAUCCCUCACCAAGAGCGCGGAUCAAAGGGGGCAGCAACGCAGCCACGAAUCCCGCCCCUGCAUUGAACCCAGAGCCUCUCAGAGGAGAAACAUACCCGGAGAGCAAAGGGCUGCAUCCACAACUGUGCAGAGGAGAGAGAGGCAGUCUCAACUUACAGAGACGCGCACUGACGGCUAACCUGCGGAACGAGUCCGUCCCUGUGAACCAGGGACAUCCCCGACGGACUGAGGACAACCGUCCAAUGCAUCGAGGUCUAACUUGAAUGUAGAUGCAGCAAAAUAGUUUGGAGACAGUUCGAAGAGGACGAAGACAGGGCUGUUAAACGCCCAUACUCUCAGUUCCCAAGUUGCGUCUCGGGAUUCCUCCACCUGAUGAGUAGAGGGUUUUCUGUGCGGAUCAAACCCGAGUUGGAAGUCUAAAAUGAAUGAGCAUCAGAAGUGGGAAAUGGCCGGUAAACCGAGUGAGGAGAAGCGGAUUCGCGUCGAGCAACAGCGACCUUCAAAACAGCUGUGGAAAAAAUGGAGCCAUUUGCCAAGCGUAAUGAUUUGCGUUGCAGCAUGUGUUCUGUGCAUCGGAGUUUGCAUUGUGGUUUUGCUGCGGACCUCGGAGCUGCAGACCAGGCUAGUGAGUCUGGAGCAACGGCAAAGAGACGCGCAGCUCUCAGCAUGGAUGUUGUCUCUGGAACAGGCGGAGCCCGUUAUCCUGGGCCGACUGGACCAGAUCCUGGACGAGAAGCUUGCAGCGAGAAUACCAAAGACAAGGGAGUCGAGGGAAGCUCCCCACAGCUGCUUGUGUCCUCCAGGACCUCCAGGUCCUCCUGGACGUGCAGGCUUUCCGGGGGACAAAGGAAACAUAGGGAUUCCUGGGAGAAUGGGCUUAAAAGGACAAGCAGGGGAGAAGGGCGCAACAGGCGAGCCAGGUCUGUCUAUCAUUGGUCCAAGAGGACCUCCGGGGCAACCUGGGACAAGAGGAUUUCCAGGCUUUCCAGGUCCAAUUGGGUUGGAUGGCAAGUCUGGACAGAAUGGACUGAAGGGAGACAUGGGGGAUCCUGGACCCAAAGGGGAGAAGGGCGUAUGUGGAGACUACACACACCGGGGUCUCUUUGUGCAGGAUCUCCCUCUGAAAACCCUGGCUGCCUUGCGCUCCAGUCAGGCUCUGAUGUUGAAGAUGUUGCCCAUCACCGUACGCAACAUGCCCUCAAUAAGCCCUCUAAUCCUAAAACGCCUCAAGCAGGGUGAGCAGGGACCCCCGGGACCUCCAGGACCGCCAGGACUCCCAGGGACCCCGGGCAUUAAUGGAGCUAGUGGCCCAGUGGGUAAGCCUGGUGAACCAGGCAAACCAGGAAAAGACCCACGGCUUCUACCGGGACUGAAGGGGGAGCAAGGUGUGCCGGGACAAAAGGGGGAUCAAGGUGAUGUUGGCCCACUAGGUCCUCAGGGCCCAAAGGGAGUUAAGGGGGACCAAGGACUUAAGGGACAUGAAGGAAAAAGGGGGUUUCCGGGAGAGAAGGGCCAGGUUGGUCUCCCAGGUACCCCUGGCAUCCCAGGCAAGAGAGGCUACAGGGGUGAGAGGGGACAACCGAGCAUUGCAGGCCAGGGAAUUAAAGGAGAACCAGGCUCACCAGGACGGCCAGGCCUGAUUGGAAUCAAGGGUGACACUGGAGAUAAAGGAGAGAAGGGGGAUGCCGGCCUUGAAGGCCCAGCGGGACCAAGAGGUCCACUAGGCCCAGCUGGUGAGCCAGGAAAGACUGACAUCCAAAACAAUGACAAUGAUAUUCGCAACAUACCCCUGAUGGGCCCUCCUGGAUUACCUGGACCUUCAGGGGCCCCUGGGCUCCCUGGGACAAAGGGUGAAGUUGGUGUGCCAGGUCCUCCAGGACUGGAUGGAGAGAAGGGGCCAAGGGGAAAGCCUGGAGAGCCCGGUCCUGCAGGCCCAGCUGGUCCCGAAGGUCCCAGAGGCAUGGGUGGUGUCAUAGGCUUCUCGGGGCCAAAAGGAGACAAGGGAGACAUGGGUUCAUCUGGAUCACCUGGUUUAGAUGGCCCCACGGGUGAAAAGGGGGCUACAGGGGCCCCUGGCCCUACUGGAUUACCUGGCUCAAUGGGUCAUAAAGGCGAACCUGGCGAAGGAGGAAGGUCACAAAUGAUCUAUGGACCUCCAGGGCCUCCAGGAAGUCCAGGACCAGUUGGCCCAGCAGGAGAACCAGGAUUAGGCAUGAGAGGAGAAAAGGGAGCGUCGGGUCAGAAGGGUGACAAGGGCGACAGAGGCCAUCUUGGACUUCCUGGGGCUCAUGGGUUAGACGGCAGACCGGGUCCAGUGGGUCUAAUAGGACCAUCAGGUGUGUCAGGGCCAGCAGGACCAAAGGGGGAGAGAGGUGAAACAGGGAAUGCUGGAUUGCCAGGACCAAAUGGGCCUCAAGGCAUCCCUGGUUUAGUUGGACCACAAGGACUGAAAGGCAACCGGGGAGAGAGGGGCAAGAAAGGCAACAGGGGGGCCAAAGGGGAUAAGGGAGACCAAGGAGCACCUGGAUUAGAUGCCCCCUGUCCGUUGGGUUUCCGAGGCUUUAAAGGGGAGAAAGGUGAACCGGGCUUGCCAGGCCUGGACGGGCUGGAUGCCCCUUGUCCUGUGGUAUGGUGCCCUUUUUACCCUUCACUUAACGCAGCAUGCCUCUAGCUAUCCCUAACCAAACCCGUGGAUAUGUCCACUCAGAUCUUGCACUUUAAAUUUACAAAACAACAUGCAUGUUUGCAUGGAGAUUUAAACCUAUUUAUAUGUAGUUGACUGACCUUAUAAUAACCCAAACUUUUCCAACUGACCUCCAUUAGAACUAAAGUGAACAAGCUUUUUAUUCUGAUAUCAAAUACUUUUUAAUUCAACCUCUCCAUCACUACUAGUCAAGAUUUCUUUGUUAACAUCACAUGCGGAUAUAUGAUGACUAAUCAUAUAUGACUAAUAUUAACAAACGCAACCAGAUAUUAACAUUGUUGUUGAAAUAUGGCUUUCUACAUAACACCUUGUUUCCUACACCAUCGCUUGCAUUGAGCUCACAUUUCCUACUUCUUCGGGGCAUCAGAAUACCACAGGGGGUGAAAAGCAGUACGGAACUAGAUUUCUAUCUUUUUCAAAGCAAGUGAGAGUAUGUAAUAACAUUUCCUACAAGUUUACUCAUUGCCAAUGUUCCUUCUUCUGUUCCAACAACCUACAUUUUUGAUUCUUGCAUUUCUUUUGGACACUGUUCAGAAGCUGUUACUAAAUGCAAGGAAUUCAGAAGUUACUGCCACUGCUAAGGGUUGGGACGUGUAAAGUUGAAGUUUGUCGCAACUACAACUGACUAAAUAUUAUUUCCAACUGGUGUCACAUUGUAGGACUUUUUGGAGAUAAGAUAUUGUUAAUCACAAUGUCAAUCCUCACGACAUCUCCAAAGAAAAGCAACAACUAAUUUAACAAUAUAUAGUCUGCCUUUGCAAAGCUAAUUGAAAAAAAGUUAAUCUUCAACAUGCUUUAUACAUAUGGUAAUGGAGAAACGUCUCUUCAAUUUCUGAAUUGUAUCUUCACAGGUAAGGUUAUGUCAUUCCCAUUUCUUUGUUAAUGCAAGCAUUGCUCCUCUGGAUUAUUACCAAAAUAAAUGAAAUCAUGUUUCAAAAUAAUUUUAUUCUAUUGCAUACAACCGGCAGCCUGUUACUAACUGGAAAUGUAUUUUAAAGGCACCAUUAAUUUCUUUAGAAAGUGUUAAGCUUCAGGCAGCAUUUGAACAACCGUACAAUCCUCUUGCUGUGUUAUUAGCAGCAGCACUGUUGUGUCAUGAAGAAGCCCUUCUCAUUUGUUUGGUUAUGAUCUCAUCUGGUUUUGGUAUCUAUACUCAAAAUGAUGAAUUCUUAAAAUGUUGUCCUUUACAUCGUUGAGAAGUUGGGAGAUCCUCUGGAUCUGGAAGUAUUAUUAACAACUGAUUAUUUUAAUGACAGCGGCGAUGUUCGUUUACAUUGAAACAUACUAUAGAUAGACAAAUACUCUUGCAUAGUUAGAUUACUUAACAAUUUUGCUACUUUUUUCCAUUAAGAGACCAUGCUACACAUUGUUGAUUUGUUCAGCAAAAACUAUCAAGUUUUUUUCAUAACCAAAACAAGAGCAUAAACUUCAUUAAAGUUUAUGUAAGAAAAUUAAUUAUUUCCGGUUCCCUGUCUUUGGAGAUACUGUACUACCUUUGUUUAUUGUCAGAAAGUGCCAGUUUUAAAAUUACAGUUAAUUAAGUUAGUUAAUUAAACUUGAAAAACCAAAAUUAAGUAUAGACAACAAAAAAUCUGAAGCUACCAGCAUAUAACUGGGGAAAAUAGUACAACUUCUAAUUGUGACUAGGGCAACAAAUCUGUGAUGCAUUAUGUAGAAAAAUUACUUUCACUGUAACCAUAAAAUUAGUACAUUGUUUUCACUUCUCUUAUUGUUUUUCUCAGGGAGAUGAUGGCUUACCUGUACCAGGAUGUUGGAAUAAAUGACAAUAACUUUGGAAUGGCUUGUGUGAUUGUAAAUAGGAUAUUUAUUUUUUUAUAUUUUCCCAAUUCUUUUAUUUGUGCGGGAUAAAAAUGAAAUCCUAUAAAAUAUAUGGCAGCAUUUUGUACAGAUGUUUUAUUUGACUACGUAUGACAGUGUUUAUGUAUUGGAUUUUUAUAUCUCUGUAUUUUAAUAUUGGAUUUGAUAAGUAAAGCAUGAUAUUUGUGCAAAAUGUGAAGUGGAUAAUGCUUAUUAACUUGUAUUAUCUGGUGUGUUUUAAUAGACCAUGCUGCACUGAGUUGUGGGGCUGGAAAGAUGUGUUGAAAAACUAACAUGGAAAAACUGCAUAUACACACGUUUCAAUUCAACUACAUGUUCACAUAGAAAGCUAUUAAAAGUCUGCCCUUUGAACUUUUGGUCAUAUGUCAUGAUGAACAUGCAGACUAAAAUGAUCUUAUUUAGGGCUAUCUCGUUAAUGAUAGAUUUUUAUAUCUGGUAACGAUGUUCCUCUAGGAUCUGACAGCUGUGAAUGACACAAUAACUGCAUUUGAAGGUCACAACAAAUUAUAAUGCAAACCGGAUUAUUUACAAUUAAAAGACUGACCCUCAGAACA